This 2908-nucleotide long non-coding RNA is filed under the name Ornithorhynchus anatinus (platypus). Its description in RNAcentral is "lncRNA (ENSOANG00000049885.1)". Lineage: Eukaryota; Metazoa; Chordata; Mammalia; Monotremata; Ornithorhynchidae. The record is from RNAcentral.
UCUAACCGCUUGAAGAGAACCUCAGAAGUUCUUGUUUGUCUACUCUGAUUUUUCGUUCCUUCGAUCUCCAUCUCAGGCAUUUGCUUUUCAUCUUCUCUGCAUGAAUCUAUUUCUCUAGGAACGUACCUCACACUUGGCCCAAUAUGUGGGCUGGGCUUGCAACUUCAAUCCGGAAUCUACACACAAACUCAGAGCAGUGAAUGUUGGUUUUCAUUCAGAUGGAGGGCACAGAAUGCUUUAAACCACCACCCUAUCAUGUCAGACCACAGCAGACACCCCUCCCAUCCCCCUCAUCCCCCUGUCUGUGUUCAUGAGAAUCCUGCAGGCAGAAGAAAUUGAGAAACUCACCAUAUCAUUGAAAGCUGGUGAAUGAAGCAGGAAGAAGAGAAAUCCAAGGAAACCCAUAGGACCAAUCCUGUGAUGAGAACUCCGUCAAGAGGAAAACUCACUUUAGAGUUGGGGGAGGCCAAAAAAAGUGAUUCCACUCAUGUGAAGAGAGAACAAGGCCACAGACAUUUACUUACAUCUUCAAUGAGAAUCACCAUAAUAAAGCAACAGACCUGCUGCCAUGCAUGAAACACUUUGCCACAAAGAGAACACAGCAAGACUUCAAAAAAAAAUGAAGAGCAACACAGAGAUAUCAUUUUAAAAAUCUCAGUUCAACAAAAACUACGAAGCCCAUGAUUAUGAUGUGUCAGCUGGAGGCAGCAAUACCAUGGAUGGAUUCAUUGUUUCAUUUCUACUUCUGAGUAACAGGACCUGGUGGACAGUGUAAUAAAAUAGUUGAGGACUUCUCUAUCAAAAAUCCGAAAUUGUUUUUGCUUUUGCCCCUCUGAAAAUAGUUUGGAAUUAAUAUCAUGUACAGCAGAGAACUCUAUUCCAAAGCAUUCACUAUAAUGCUAAACAUAAUCACAAAGAAACAGUUAAAAAAAAGCAAUAACCCACUUAACAAACCUGCAAUGUAUGGAUGUAUGGAGUCAUGCAGCAACUAUGGAAGACAAUAACUUUCUCCUUUAAAGGCAAAUAAUUAAAACCAUCUCCUGAUGAAAAACUUCUCUACCUCAAAUUAGAAUUAAACAAAUUAAUCGUUCUUUGCUUUGCUUUUGGGCCACCAUGGCUUCAAUGCCAAUUAUCUAAAUGAGUUCUUCCUUUGUUUAUUGGCCCCUCUCACUGCUGAGACAAAUUGCUUUGGGUGUUCCUAAUGCCAUGUGCUCUUCAAGUUUACCCUACUCUAGGAGUCUGUAGCCUGUAUCACUUAGGGUUAGAUGAUGGUCAUUAGAUCUAGAGCCAAACUCUUAAAAGAGCCUAUCCUGGCCCUCAGAUCCUCCCUUCCCUCUCUGCCAUUGGACUAGCCCCUUGCUGGAGUGGUUAGGGUUUUGUCUCUUGUGAGAGAGUGAUUGAAAGAAAAGGGGCAGAACUCUAGGAAUUUCUACUAUGCAGCAGAACUCCCUGCCACAGGCCCCAUCUGUGCCAAACCUGUGGGCAAUUAUGCCCAGGACUCAAGGGAAGCGACAUUUUGGUUUGGGGAGAACAGGAUACUGACUGAAGUCCAGCUUCACCCACUCUCUGUUCCUGUGGAGAAGAUGAGCUCCCAUUAUUUAAAGAUGGAACAAUUCAAUUUCCCUCCUAACUGAGCUUACUGAGAAAACAGGGCCUGACCUUGGACCCCUUCCACCCCCCUACCCCCAUAGCACUUUAGAGUAGCAGCGUGGCUCAGUGGAAAGAGCCUGGGCUUGGGAGUCAGAGGGCAUGGGUUCUAAUCCGGAUCCGCCACUUGCCAGCUGUGUGACUUUGGGCAAGUCACUUAACUUCUCUGUGCUUCAGUUCCCUCAUCUGUAAAAUGGGGAUGAAGACUGUGAGCCCCACAUGGGACAAUCUGAUCACCUUGGAUCCCCUAGGGCUUAGAACAGUGCUUUGCACAUAGUAAGCGCUUAACAAAUACCACCAUUUUUUAAAAAUGUACAUAUCUUUAUACUCUAUUGCUUCCACCUACCCGUAAUCUAUAUUAAUGUCUAUCUCCUGUGCUAGACUGUAAGCUCCUUGUGUUCAAAUUUUAUUGUACUCUCUGAAGUGCUUAGGUCAGUGCUCUGCACACAGGAAGCAUUCCAUAAAUACUGUAGUUUGAUUAACAAGGGAAAGUUCUGAAUAGCACAGAUGGGUCACCUGUCGGCCCUUCAUCCUGUUGCUGGUCCUGGUUAGUCAGCCUGAAUCUCUUUGUGGAAAUAGAGUGGAAUGUUUUCUCUCAUUUCCCUCUCCAACUAAAAAAGUCAUGUGAAGAUGAGGAAAUUUAACCUAAGUCCAGAAACUGAAUUCUUUUAAUAACCAAGAAUCUAAUUGCAGAUGUGCCGGGGUGUUCCUGGAGGAAUCGUGGCCUAGCUGAUUGCAUCGCAAUGGUGACCCCCUAGGUUGGAACCAGCUCUGGGUGUUGGUCCAGGCUCCCAGACAUCUCUGGGGUCCGUCUGAGUUACAGAGGGUGAGGAAGGACCUGAGGGAGGACUGAAAGCUGCCCAACUUCGGCACAGUCAAGUGAGAACCUCUUGAGCAUAGUUAGAUAAUGGAGGCACUUGAAGCGUGAGGUACAAGCAUUCUGCCCACUUCAAUCCAGAGCUGCUUCUGAGGAGCCCUUCCCAUCUACCCAGAAUUUCUUUCUGAAUUUCUCAAAUACCACAUGCCCCAGAAAUCUGAGGGCUGUGCCUAGGCAAAUUUUCUAUCACACUCCAGGACACAAAACGGGGUUCCCCUGACCCAAGUUUCCUGGUUUAAGGUAUCUCUACCCCUACCAAACUUUACUUUUCAUUUGGGAUACUUUUAUUCUGCAAACAAUUCUCUAUAAGCUUUAUAGAGGAAUCGUGGCCUAGCUGAUUGUAUCGCAAUGGUGACCCCCUAGGUUGGAACCAGCUCUGGGUGU